GAGACCAAGGUCAUAAUAAUGCCCAAUUUGAGUUCUUGUGGCUCAAGAUGAACUGCCUCUGAAAGCAUAAACACGGAUACGACAUGAUAUGGACAUGCUAACACAAUAAGUUCUAGAAAAGCAAGAAAGUACACCUUGACAACAUGUUAAUGAUAGAGAAUGAUUGGACAUUUGGCUUGUGUUUAUAACGUUCUGGAUGCUGGGUCUCCCGAUAUUGAAUACCUUGUGCAUGUGAAGUCGCAUUGUUUUCAUAUGAUUAUGUGAAAUUUCGCAUUGCCUCAUGGAGACAAGUCAAAAUUAUGUCUUAAGGCCAAUUCAAAGGUACCAGAUACUCUCAUUAACCAAGCGAACCACAUAUUGAUACUUAUGUACCACUACUUUAAAUUUACCGUACCAAUUUUUUGUUGUUGUUUUAACUAUAAUUGCACAAACAUCCAUAUUCUAACCUAGCAUUGGAUGCUCAAGCAUUACAUUUGUACUACAUUAUUUAUAAAACCGCCAACUUGUUGACGCAACUAAAUUUUUGUUAAAAAAACAUAGGUUUAUUAACAUUUAGAUUUUAAGAAAAUUUCUAAAUAUAAGCACUAAUAUAAAGACAUCAUAGCGUACCGUGUUUUAGUUAUGUAGCAUAUUGUGUACUCGUAUUGUUCAACAAAUCAAAACGAACCACGUUCCAUGGAACGCUGGGCCAAUCCGGCAGUGGUUCCAUCUGCUCUGCAACCAUGGCCCCAAAAUUUACACAUAUAAAAUGUCCCAGUGCUGCCUGCUAGUAAUGAGGACUGAAUUUAUUUUGCUGGUGAGCCUGCAUUACUUGCUACUGCCUCGCAACCACGGGCACAUAAUUUACAACCAUGAACUGUCCAAUCGCUGCCUACUGGUGGUGAGGACACCUGGUGC
This 897-nucleotide long non-coding RNA is filed under the name Panax ginseng (ginseng). RNAcentral describes it as "long non-coding RNA (PGIN_LNC004059)". The record is from RNAcentral. Lineage: Eukaryota; Viridiplantae; Streptophyta; Magnoliopsida; Apiales; Araliaceae.